RNAcentral lists this ribosomal RNA (253 nucleotides) under uncultured bacterium. Its description in RNAcentral is "partial 16S ribosomal RNA". It matches the Rfam family "Bacterial small subunit ribosomal RNA", at positions 524 to 776 of the family's 1533-position model. The record is from RNAcentral.
UACGAAGGGUGCAAACGUUGCUCGGAAUUAUUGGGCGUAAAGCGCACGUAGGCGGCUUAGCAAGUUGGAUGUGAAAGCCCUCGGCUUAACCAAGGAAGUGCAUCCAAAACUGCUGAGCUUGAGUAGUUAAGAGGAUCGCGGAAUUCCCGGUGUAGAGGUGAAAUUCGUAGAUAUCGGGGGGAACACCAGUGGCGAAGGCGGCGAUCUGGGAACAUACUGACGCUGAGGUGCGAAAGCGUGGGGAGCAAACAGG